GGGGGGUCUCGCGAAACUGGCGGGCUUGAGGGCAGGAGAGGGAAGCGGAAUUCCCGGUGUAGCGGUGAAAUCCGUAGAUAUCGGGAGGAACACCAGUGGCGAAGGCGGCUUUCUGGACUGCAACUGACGCUGAGGCGCGAAAGCUAGGGGAGCGAACGGGAUUAGAUACCCCGGUAGUCCUAGCCGUAAACGAUGGGUACUAGGUGUGGGAGGUAUCGACCCCUUCCGUGCCGGAGUUAACGCAAUAAGUACCCCGCCUGGGGAGUACGGCCGCAAGGUUGAAACUCAAAGGAAUUGACGGGGGCCCGCACAAGCAGCGGAGCAUGUGGUUUAAUUCGACGCAACGCGCAGAACCUUACCAGGGGCUUGACAUCCCUUGAAAGUUGGCAGAGAUGCAAUUUCCAUGGUAGCAAUACCAUGGCAAGGAGACAGGUGGUGCAUGGUUGUCGUCAGCUCGUGUCGUGAGAUGUUGGGUUAAGUCCCGCAACGAGCGCAACCCUUGUGCUGUGUUGCCAGCGAGAGAGACGGGCACUCACAGCAGACUGCCGGGGACAACUCGGAGGAAGGUGGGGAUGACGUCAAAUCAUCAUGCCCCUUAUGUCCUGGGCCACACACGUGCUACAAUGGCCGGAACAGACGGCAGCGAACCCGUGAGGGGGAGCUAAUCCGAGAAAUCCGGUCUCAGUUCAGAUUGCAGGCUGCAACUCGCCUGCAUGAAGACGGAGUUGCUAGUAAUCGCGGAUCAGCACGCCGCGGUGAUACGUUCCUGGGCCUUGUACACACCGCCCGUCACACCACGAGAGCUGACAACACCCGAAGCCGGUGGGCUAACCCGC
Molecule: ribosomal RNA, 836 nt
Filed under: uncultured Bacillota bacterium
Lineage: Bacteria; Bacillati; Bacillota
Description: bacterial SSU rRNA
Rfam family: Bacterial small subunit ribosomal RNA
Source: RNAcentral